Molecule: unclassified non-coding RNA, 300 nt
Filed under: uncultured fungus
Lineage: Eukaryota; Fungi
Description: sequence contains 5.8S rRNA gene, ITS2
Rfam family: 5.8S ribosomal RNA (bases 1-94)
Source: RNAcentral
GUCAGAUGUGUAUAAGAGACAGGUGAAUCAUCGAAUCUUUGAACGCAACUUGCGCUUAAAAUCAAUCAUUUUAAGCACACUUGUUUGAGUGUCGGUUUAUAACACACUUUUAAUGUGUUUGAGUUUCAACCUGUAUUGGUCGUUACUUUAAAACUAUGCUAUGAUAUUCAUCUAUCUUACUACUCUUAGUAUAUCUUUGAAAAGUAUUGAUUAGUUGAUAUAUCAUUCAUUCCUCUCAAUUUCUCGACCUCAAAUCAAAUGAGAUUACCGGCUGAACUUAAGCAUAUCAAUAAGCGGAGG